This is an RNA transcript of Olea europaea var. sylvestris, 4545 nucleotides long. It is a transcript of the gene named LRR receptor-like serine/threonine-protein kinase GSO1, with no coding region annotated. NCBI's taxonomy places the organism in Eukaryota, Viridiplantae, Streptophyta, Magnoliopsida, Lamiales, Oleaceae. The transcript has 10 exons. The record is from RefSeq and is a predicted model, not a curated record.
CCAAGUUUCUCCUUUAAAAAGGGAUGCUACGUACCAAAGCUAAAAAUCCACCAAGCAACAUAUAUUAGAAAUUUUACAGCAUUGCUAAUAACUCAGAUAGGCCAGAAUUAGUGUGUUCAUAAUUAAGAAAGAUGGGAAUAAAGUUAUGGGUAAUGUUAGUGAUGAUGGUGCUUUCACUACUAAAUGGACGGUAUUGUUUAGGGUGUUGGGAGGAAGAGAAGGUUGCUCUUUUGCAGCUCAAAGAAAAUAUAAACUUUCCAGGUGGAGAAUCGCUACCUUCAUGGGUGGUUAAUGAGAUUGAAACUGACUGUUGUCAAUGGCAAGGGGUUAAAUGUAGCAACACAACUAAACGAGUAAUCCAAAUUAUUCUUGAUGACGCUAGGGAUUGGAAAUUUGAAGAUUGGUAUUUUAAUGCCUCUCUAUUUCUUCCCUUUCAAGAGCUCAGAAAUCUCUCUUUGGAGAUGAAUCAGUUGGUUGGUUGGAUUGAGAAUGAAGGUUUUGAUAGAUUGUCGACGUUGAGAAAUUUGGAGGCCCUUAAUUUGGGUGAGAAUUCAUUUGAUCGCAAAAUUUUGUCAGCUCUUAGUCAGCUUUCUUCACUCAAGCAUUUGGGACUUCAUGGUUGCUUUUCAGAGAUAAAAAAUUACGGCAAUAGUCGUGAAAGACUCUUUGGAUUAACCAAGCUGGAAGUUCUCGAUUUUACAUAUAAUCCUGGGAUUAUCGAAGAUGAUAUUCUAUCAGUCCUAAAUCUGAAUGAUUUUAUCAAUUUAAAGGAGCUCGACCUAAGUAUGAAUGAAUUUAGAAGCUUGGGUACCACUUAUGGUCUAAAAUAUUUGAGGGUCCUCAAUUUACAAUCAAAUCACUUCAAUAAUAGCAUUUUCUCCUCACUUCAUAGGCUGUCAUCACUCCAGUCUCUAGAUCUCUCUUUCAAUGAAAUAAAAGGAACCGUCCAAAUUAGAGAUUUACGCGCUUUGAGUAAUUUGGAGGAGCUUGAUCUAAGUGGUAAUAAGGUCGACAACUUCACAACUCUAACAGGCAUCAAAAGUAUGCAUAGUCUCCAAGUGCUAAAAUUAGAUUCCUUAUAUGUCUCCAACAUUAGCAACAUGGUGCAAUCUUUGAGGGCAUUCGCUUACCUCAAGCACUUCUAUUUUCGGUACAAUUAUGUGAACGGAAGCAUUGGAUCUUAUGACUUGAGUCAUUUAAGACGGCUUGAGGGAUUGUUCUUGGAUAAUUCUAUUGUGGAUUGGAACUUUCUACAAAGUAUUGGAGCACUAACUUCUCUCAAGAUUUUAUCUCUGUCCAAUUGCGGACUCAAUGGUACCCUUCUUGUUCAAGGAUUGUGUGAACUUAAAAAACUCCAAGAGUUAGAUCUUCGUUGGAAUGAGUAUGAAGGAAUACUUCCUUCAUGUGUUGCAAACAUGACAUCUCUUAGAGUAGUUGAACUCUCACACAAUACAUUCACCGGAAAUAUUGCCUCCCCUCCACUUUCGAAACUCACAUCACUUGAAUAUCUCUCCAUUUCAAGUAACAACUUUCAAGUUCCAAUUUCAUUCAAGGCAUUCUUUAAUCAUUCAAACUUUAAGUUUUUAUUUUUGGACAAUAAUGAAAUAAUAGAUGACAAUGAGUUGGGAAAUUGGGUUCCCAAUUUUCAACUAGAGGCUUCUAGUAUGUCGAAUUCAAGAGGUCCUCCAUCGUUACCCCACUUCCUUUACUAUCAAUCCAAUUUGAGAUUUCUUGAUCUCUCAAAUAACAGCAUAGGACCGAAUUUUCCAACUUGGUUGCUGGAGAACAACACAAGACUUUGGGGACUAAACCUGAGGGAUAAUGUUUUUAUAGGACCUCUCAAGUUGCCAACAAGCACCAAUCCCAACAUGGAGAGUUUUGAUGUAUCUAAUAACAAGUUCAAUGGACAUGUUCCAACUAAUAUAACUUCAAUUUUUCCAAACUUGGUUGCGUUAAACAUAUCAACAAAUAUGUUUGACGGUUGUGUACCUAGUUUCAGUGACUUGAAAUCUAUAGAAUAUAUAGACUUGUCCAGCAAUAAUUUAUCAGGCACAAUACCACAGGAAGUAGUGAUGGGAUGCUUUUCUUUGUAUUUUCUCAAAUUUUCGGAUAAUAAAUUGCAAGGACAAAUAUUUCCAGAAUCUAUCAACCUACAAUACUUGAGAUAUUUAUAUCUGGACAGUAAUGAGUUCUCAGGCACCAUUCCGAAGAGCUUGUCUACCAUGGAUCUUUCAACGUUAGACAUUAGUAACAAUUGUUUGUCGGGCAGAAUUCCUACAUCAGUGGGUAAUAUGACAGCAUUGAGGGAAAUUUCUCUUUCUAACAACCAACUCGAGGGUCCAAUUCCGGAGGAAAUUUGCAAUCUCGAUCUUUACCUCUUAGAUUUAUCUGAGAACAAGUUAUGUGGUUCAGUCCCAUCUUGCUUCAAUCCAUCACGGAUGGAUCAUGUCUAUCUGAAUAAUAAUCAAUUGGAGGGUGAGCUCCCAUAUGCAUUUCAUAAUUGCUCUUAUUUGGAGUUAUUGGACCUUAGACAUAAUAAGUUCAUUGGAGGUAUCCCUCAUUGGAUUGGCAAUCUAUCAAUGUUGAGUAUUAUUCUUCUCGGAGGUAACCACUUUGAAGGCACAAUCCCUUACCAAUUUUGUGAGAUGGACCAACUAAGCAUGAUAGACCUUUCCUUUAAUUUUCUUUCGGGUCAAAUCCCGCCUUGCUUCGGUAACAUCACCAUGAAGAAUUCUGGAGUGUUUGAAAGAUCAAUCUAUAUGUACAAUGGAAAAAUUGUGUCUUUCUUAUAUAAGGUUAUGUUAGAAAGGCCCUCUCACAUAACUUUCGGAAGAAGUCAGUAUUUCUCCGAAAUUUUUGGCAAGCUUGGUUUCACGCCAAUUAGAGCGACAUUCAUGACAAAGAGAAAUUAUUAUACUUACAAAGGUCGCAUCCUCAAUUACAUGUCAGGAAUUGAUCUCUCUUCUAAUAAAUUACAUGGUGAAAUUCCGGAUGGCCUUGGAAAUUUAAGUGAGAUCCACUCACUCAACUUGUCGCACAACUAUCUUAUUGGAACAAUUCCAGAAACAUUCUCAAACCUACGUCAGAUUGAGAGCUUAGAUCUCUCCUAUAACAACUUAGGUGGGAGGAUCCCUACCGGUUUGAUCAAGUUAAACAAUUUGGCAGUCUUCAGUGUGGCGCACAACAAUUUAACAGGUACGAUACCAGAGAAAUUUCAGUUUGGGACUUUUGAUGAAGGUAGUUAUCAGGGAAAUCCUUAUCUUUGUGGCCAUCCAUUACGUGUCAACUGUACUAGCACCGGACCAACACCUGUCUUGCCAUUUGCUGAUGAUGAAAGUGAGGAGCGCGGUUUUAUGGACAUGGAGUUCUUCUAUAUAAGCUUCAUCUUAUCUUAUUUAUGUGUAGUGAUUUGCAUUGCUACAGUUCUAUCCAUAAAUUCUCACUGGAGAAAAGCAUGGUUUCAUUUCAUCGAGGUUUAUAUAAUCCAUUUUUGAGGCCGUGUGUUCUAGACAGGAUUCCCAUUUUCCAAAUCAAGGUAUCUGCUUUAAUUCUGUAUGAAGAUCAUCAUAUACUAUACUAACUUUUAUAACUAGUAUAGAUUUACAAUCUAUCUAAUCAAUUAUGUCAUUUUUCCUUCUAGAUUUGAUAAUUCGAAAGUAACGAAGCAGUGAAGGCAAUUAUAACAGCAUGGUAGGAAGCAAAGAUGGCCAUGUGUGUAUGCAAAGUGGCCAUGUGUGUAUAUUCAAUCAUAGAAGUAUGAAAUAAUUUUGAAUUCCGUACUUGUAUUAAUACAUGGAAAGGUGAUUUGUUUCCCAGCUAAAUAUUUUUGUUUGAGCAAAAAAGAUAAAAAAAUAAAAUAAAAAAUAAGGAGCAACAUGGCAUUUGAUUUCUAAAAGAUUUAUAUUUGAGCUUCUUCAUUUAUUCUUUUUCCCUAGUCCAUACAUAGAAUUUGCGCAUUAACUUUGAGUCACAUUUUGUCGAAGAGAGAGUUCGCAACCUAUUAUUCAGAAUUCAGUUUUUUGUUCUUGUUAUCAAAAGUGAUUGUACCUUGGAAGGAUCAUUUUUGGACUUUUCAUCUAUGGAUGCAAACUUUGCCUGGGCGUGGACUCAACGGCACCCUUUCCAAUUAGGUAAAAAUGACAAACAUUGAAGAUCAGAUUGAUGAUCUGGAAAUGUAAAUUGAGAUGGAAGAAAUUGAAAUCUCAACGAAGUAGCAAAAGGUAAAAGUUCUACCUAAACCUGAACAAGGAACUAAUUUCCAAGAAUCAACAAGUUAUAAUCCGAAAGGAGAUGGAAAAAGGAUUGAAGGGGAUAACAUUCCUAGACCUAAUCCUAAAAAUGAAUAUUCAGAUCAGAAUCUUUUACAAUCUGAAGAUAUACCAAAAAAAAGUAACCUGCAAGUUACAAUUCUAGACUUAGGUUGUACUCUAGAACCUGACAAACUUAUUGAUGCAUGGUAUAGCCAUAUUAUGGUAGCCAUGAUAACCAAUAAGGAAAUUAUUAAAAGUGAAGCUAAUUCAUGGAAUUAUGUUUUAGACUUCUCCA